Molecule: ribosomal RNA, 492 nt
Filed under: uncultured bacterium
Lineage: Bacteria
Description: partial 16S ribosomal RNA
Rfam family: Bacterial small subunit ribosomal RNA
Source: RNAcentral
AGUGAACGCUGGCGGUAGGCCUAACACAUGCAAGUCGAACGGCAGCACAGUAAGAGCUUGCUCUUACGGGUGGCGAGUGGCGGACGGGUGAGGAAUACAUCGGAAUCUACUUUUUCGUGGGGGAUAACGUAGGGAAACUUACGCUAAUACCGCAUACGACCUACGGGUGAAAGCAGGGGAUCUUCGGACCUUGCGCGAUUGAAUGAGCCGAUGUCGGAUUAGCUAGUUGGCGGGGUAAAGGCCCACCAAGGCGACGAUCCGUAGCUGGUCUGAGAGGAUGAUCAGCCACACUGGAACUGAGACACGGUCCAGACUCCUACGGGAGGCAGCAGUGGGGAAUAUUGGACAAUGGGCGCAAGCCUGAUCCAGCCACACCGCGUGGGUGAAGAGGGCCUUCGGGUUGUAAAGCCCUUUUGUUGGGAAAGAAAAGCAGCAGGUUAAUACCCCGCUGUUCUGACGGUACCCAAAGAAUAAGCACCGGUUAACUUCGUG